This 1266-nucleotide ribosomal RNA is filed under the name metagenome. RNAcentral describes it as "SSU rRNA". It matches the Rfam family "Eukaryotic small subunit ribosomal RNA", at positions 534 to 1823 of the family's 1831-position model. The record is from RNAcentral.
CCUACGAGGAUCUAUUGGAGGGCAAGUCUGGUGCCAGCAGCCGCGGUAAUUCCAGCUCCAAUAGCGUAUAUUAAAGUUGUUGCGGUUAAAAAGCUCGUAGUUGGAUCUCGGUUUCACUCAGGUGGUACACCUUGCGGUGUUCACUAUCUGGGUGGACGUUUCUGUUGGUUCGCUCUUGGUGCUCUUCAUCGGGUGCCAUUUGGUGGCCAGCACGUUUACUUUGAAAAAAUUGGAGUGCUCAAAGCAGGCGUUACAGCCUGAACAUUAGUGCAUGGAAUAAUGGAAUAGGAUCUCGAUUCUAUUUCGUUGGCUUUCGGAGUCGAGGUAAUGAUUAAUAGGGACAGACGGGGGCAUUCGUACUGCGACGUUAGAGGUGAAAUUCUUGGAUCGUCGCAAGACGGACUACUGCGAAAGCAUUUGCCAAGAAUGUUUUCAUUAAUCAAGAACGAAAGUUAGAGGUUCGAAGGCGAUCAGAUACCGCCCUAGUUCUAACCAUAAACGAUGCCAACCGGCGAUCCGUCGUCGUUAAUUGAAUGACUCGACGGGCAGCCUCCGGGAAACCAGAGUGUUUGGGUUCCGGGGGAAGUAUGGUUGCAAAGCUGAAACUUAAAGGAAUUGACGGAAGGGCACCACCAGGAGUGGAGCCUGCGGCUUAAUUUGACCCAACACGGGAAAUCUCACCAGGCCCGGACACCGGAAGGAUUGACAGAUUGAGAGCUCUUUCUUGAUUCGGUGGGUGGUGGUGCAUGGCCGUUCUUAGUUGGUGGAGCGAUUUGUCUGGUUAAUUCCGAUAACGAACGAGACUCUGGCCUACUAACUAGAAGGUCUAUCCUUUAUGGGUAGGCCUCUGCUUCUUAGAGGGACGGGCGGCGUUUAGCCGCACGAGAAUGAGCAAUAACAGGUCUGUGAUGCCCUUAGAUGUUCUGGGCUGCACGCGCGCUACACUGAAGGAAUCAGCAUGUUCUCCCCUCCCUGAAAAGGGCGGGUAACCCGUUGAAACUCCUUCGUGAUGGGGAUUGGAGAUUGUAAUUAUUCUCCAUGAACGAGGAAUUCCCAGUAGGCGCGAGUCAUCAGCUUGCGUCGAUUACGUCCCUGCCCUUUGUACACACCGCCCGUCGCUACUACCGAUCGAGUGAUUUAGUGAGGACUUCGGACUGGUCUUCAAGUUGGCUUCGGUCGGCUCGAAGUUCCGGAAAGAUGCCCAAACUUGAUCACUUAGAGGAAGUAAAAGUCGUAACAAGGUUUCCGUAGGUGAACCUGCGGAAG